GUGCAAGUUAGUAAGGGUCCGGGGUGGAUGCCUCGGCUGCCUGAGGGGACGAAGGGCGUGUUAAGCUGCGAUAAGCCGGGUGGAGGCGCAAAAAGCCUGUGAGGCCCGGAUGCCCGAAUGGGGAAACCCGGCAGGGUGUUGAGCCCUGUCAUCCGCCGAUUAGGCGGAGCCUAACGGGACGAAGUAAAACCUUCUAGUAGUCCCAGGAAAGGAAAUCAAACGAGACUCCCCAAGUAGCGGCGAGCGAAAGGGGACCAGCCCAAACUCUGCGGGUGCCAUGGUGGCAGCCUUAGCUCGCAGAGGGUUGCGGGACGCAUCCGGAGAGGUCUGCCAGCCUCUCAGGGAGUUACAAAACUUCCGCUUAGCCGAAGUGAGCUGGAAUGCUCCGCCACAGAGGGUGAAAGCCCCGUAGGCUAAAGGUGAGAAGUCUCCCGGGGAUGCGAUCCCAAGUACCACGGCCCCCGUGGAAGGUCGUGGGAAUCAGGGGGGACCUCCCUCCAAGGCUAAGUACUACAGGCAGACCGAUAGCGCAUAGUACCGCGAGGGAAAGGUGAAAAGAACCCCGGAAGGGGAGUGAAAUAGAACCUGAAACCCCGGAUCCACAAGCCAGUGGAAGGGUCUUUAUGGCCCGACUGCGUGCCUUUUGCAGAAUGAGCCAGGGAGUUGUCCUCAGCGGCGAGGUUAAGCCGUAAGGCGAAGCCGUAGCGAAAGCGAGUCCGAACAGGGCGCUUUAGUCGCUGGGGGCAGACGCGAAGCGGAACGAUCUACCCAUGCCCAGGGUGAAGGACGGGUAAUGCCGUCUGGAGGCCCGAACGGGUCGGUGCUGCAAAACCGUCCGAUGAGGUGUGGGUAGCGGUGAAAAGCCAAUCGCGUUCCGUGAUAGCUCGUUCUCCCCGAAAUAGGUCGACGCCUAGCGUCGCUCGUUUCUUCCCGGAGGUAGAGCCACUGGUUGGGCUAGGGCCUCGAAAGGGGUACCGAACCCUGCCAAACUCCGAAUGCCGGGAAAGAUAGAGCGGCAGUCAGUCCCCGGGGGAUAAGCUCCGGUGGACAAGAGGGAAACAGCCCAGACCGCCAGCUAAGGUCCCAAAAUCCGGGCUAAGUGGGGAAGGAUGUGCGGCUGCUAAGACAGCUGGGAGGUUGGCUUAGAGGCAGCCAUCCUUUAAACAGUGCGUAACAGCUGACCGGCCGAGCGGCCGUGCGCCGAAAAUUUAGCGGGGCUAAAGCCCGGUACCGAAGCUGCGGGCUCGCGCAAGCGAGCGGUAGGGGAGCGUUCCCUGUGGGUUGAAGUCUCACCGUGAGGUGGGAUGGACUGCAGGGAAGUGAGAAUCCUGGCAUGAGUAGCAGCGAAGACAGGUGAGAAACCUGUCCGCCGGAAGCCUCAGGUUUUGGCGGCAAUGUAAAUCAGCCGCCAGUUAGCCGGGACCCUAAGGUGAGGCCGAAAGGCGUAGCCGAUGGGAAGCGGGUCAACAUUCCCGCGCCAGCGGUGUGGAGCCAGAGUCGUGACGCAGGAGGCUAGGGAGAGCCACCUAUGGAAUGGUGGUCCAAGGUAGUAGGAGGGGGUGGCAGGCAAAUCCGUCACCCCAUACUCCGAGAGCUGAUGGGGUAACUCUCCUGACGCCACACUGCCAAGAAACAACGGCGCUGGUGUUGAAGCACCGCUGCCCGUACCGGAAACCGACACAGGUAGGCUGGGUUAGUAGCCUAAGGCGUCGGGGGAACUCUCCUCAAGGAACUCGGCAAAUUGCCUCCGUACCCUCGGUAGAAGGGGGGCCCGUGGGAGUGAAGCCCUGCGGCAUAAGCUCUUGCGGGUCGCAGAGACCGGGCGGUGCCGACUGUUUAUCAAAAACACAGGACUACGCAAACCCGAAAGGGGAUGUAUGUGGUCUGAAGCCUGGCCAGUGCCCGUAGGUUAAGGGGAAGGGUGCAAGCCCUGAACCGAAGCCCGGGUAAACGCCGGCCGUAACUAUGACGGUCCUAAGGUAGCGAAAUUCCUUGUCGGGUAAGUUCCGACCUGCAUGAAUGGCCCAACGAGUGCCGCGCUGUCUCGAGGAGAGUCCCGGCGAAAUUGUAAUGCCGGUCAAGAUGCCGGCUACCCGCGGCAGGACGGAAAGACCCCGUGAAGCUUCACUGUAGUCUGGUACUGAGUCUUAGCCUGUCCUGCGCAGGAUAGGUGGGAGCCUGUGAAGUCCCUCCUCCGGGAGGGAUGGAGGCGCCGGUGAGAUACCACCCUGGACAGGCUGAGACCCUAACCGAGCCGAGUUAACCUCGGCCGGGACCGUGCCAGAUGGGCAGUUUAGCUGGGGCGGCUGCCUCCUAAAAGGUAACGGAGGCGUCCAAAGGUACCCUCAGGCGGGUCGGAAAUCCGCCGUAGAGUACAAGGGCAGAAGGGUGCCUGACUGUGAGGCAGACAUGCCGAGCAGAGGCGAAAGCCGGGCCUAGUGACCCACCGGUUCCUCGGGGAAGGGCCGGUGAUCAGCGGAUAAAAGCUACUCCGGGGAUAACCUGUGUUGUCCCGCUCCCAGGCAACUGGGAGGCAAUAACGCGGCUUAUAACGGGGGAGCCCUCCUGCCUAACAGGGCGUGGGGUAAUCCCGUGGGAAGUCAGGAGAGGCACCAUGAUCAGUAAAAGACAGAAAGAGAUAAUCAUAGGUACCCUUUUAGGUGAUGGAUAUCUGCAGUCAACAGGGAAAAGAAACGCGAGGUUAAAGCUUGAACACUCGGAAAGGCAAAAAGAUUACAUCUUCUGGAAGUGGGAAGAGCUUAAAAACCUCAUGCAGGACAAGCCCAGAAGGAUAGAAAGGUACAACCCGAGAUGGGGGAAAAGCUACACCUACUAUAGGUGUCAAAGCCACUCAAUGCCCUUUCUGGGAAAACUUAAAAUGCUCUUUUAUGACCAGAAGGGCAAGAAAAGGGUACCUGAAAAGAUAGAAGCCCUUUUGAAGUCCCCCCUUUCUUUAGCGGUAUGGUAUAUGGAUGAUGGAUACUACUACAGAAGGGAUAAGGUGGCUUACAUAUACCUACCCAAGUAUGAAGAAGAGGAACUUCAAAGGCUUAUUAGGACAUUGGAAGUAAACUUUAGUCUCAAGCCGAAACUUGUAUGGAAAAAGGGAUACCCUGUGCUUUACUUUCCAAAAGAGGAAACUCAGAAACUUAUGGAGAUAGUAAAGCCGUGGGUACCAGAGUUUAUGAGAUAUAAAACCUCUCCUGACCCCGUAACGACUGAGGGUGCGUUACCCGAGGGUUCUACCAAAAGGUAGAGCCAAAACGCCGCGCUCCCCACCAACAAAGAGUGGGGAUGAAGAUAUAGUCUAACCCUCCAGGAAACUGGAGAAAGGUUGAACAGGCUAAUCUCCCCCGAGAGCCCACAUCGACGGGGAGGUUUGGUACCUCGAUGUCGGCUCCCCCCAUCCUGGGGCUGAAGCAGGUCCCAAGGGUUGGGCUGUUCGCCCAUUAAAGGGGGACGCGAGCUGGGUUCAGAACGUCGCGAGACAGUUCGGUCCCUAUCCGCCGCGGGCGCAGGAGUCUUGAGGGGGUCCGUCCUUAGUACGAGAGGACCGGGACGGGGCAGGCUCUGGUGUACCGGUUAUCUCUCCAGAGGUAGCGCCGGGUAGCCAUCCUGCUACGGGAUAAGCGCUGAAAGCAUCUAAGCGCGAAGCCCACCCCAAGAUAAGGACUCCCUGAAGGGCCCUGGAAGACUACCAGGUUGAUAGGCAGCAGGUGGAAGCUCCGUAAGGGGUGUAGCCGAGCUGUACUAAUAGCCCGUUCGACUUGCACAC
This is a ribosomal RNA of Hydrogenobacter thermophilus TK-6, 3775 nucleotides long. It matches the Rfam family "Bacterial large subunit ribosomal RNA". Lineage: Bacteria; Pseudomonadati; Aquificota; Aquificia; Aquificales; Aquificaceae. The record is from Rfam.